RNAcentral lists this ribosomal RNA (540 nucleotides) under Colpoma sp. PDD 91607. Its description in RNAcentral is "eukaryotic LSU rRNA". The stretch from base 177 to 330 matches the Rfam family "5.8S ribosomal RNA". Lineage: Eukaryota; Fungi; Ascomycota; Leotiomycetes; Rhytismatales; Rhytismataceae. The record is from RNAcentral.
UCCGUAGGUGAACCUGCGGAAGGAUCAUUAAAGAAUACACGGCCUCACGGCUCUAUUCUCACCCUUUGUAUACCAAACUUCGUUGCUUUGGCAGGCCCCUGGCUUCGGCUGGAUCGCGCCUGCCAAAGGACCUAAACUCCUGAAUCUUUGAUGUCUGAGUACUAUAUAAUAGUUAAAACUUUCAACAACGGAUCUCUUGGUUCUGGCAUCGAUGAAGAACGCAGCGAAAUGCGAUAAGUAAUGUGAAUUGCAGAAUUCAGUGAAUCAUCGAAUCUUUGAACGCACAUUGCGCCCUCUGGUAUUCCGGGGGGCAUGCCUGUUCGAGCGUCAUUACAACCCUCACGCCUAGCGUGGUAUUGGGCUCGCCCUGUAGGGCCUGCCUCAAAGUCAGUGGCGGCACCGUUUGACCCCUAAGCGUAGUAAUACUCGUCGCUUCUGGUGUCCGGCGGAGGCCUGCCAGCAACCCCCCAAUAUUUUAAAGGUUGACCUCGAAUCAGGUAGGGAUACCCGCUGAACUUAAGCAUAUCAAUAAGCGGAGGA